Cygnus olor (mute swan) is the source of this 681-nucleotide long non-coding RNA. RefSeq lists it as uncharacterized. The transcript is spliced from 3 exons. The record is from RefSeq and is a predicted model, not a curated record. NCBI's taxonomy places the organism in Eukaryota, Metazoa, Chordata, Aves, Anseriformes, Anatidae.
CCCCCUCCCCCCCCCGCCUCCACGCGUCGAGGGCUGCGGGUUGCCCGCGGAGCCUGGAGGAAGCCUCCACCUAGCGGAGCGCGGGGGAACGGCGGCUUUGGGGGGGGGUUUGGGGGAUUUUUGGGGGUCUCGGUGGUUUGGGGUGGAGGAGAUGGAGCCGUGCUUCGUGCCGCAAGGAAGGCUCCAUCCUAAUAAAUGGGCCAUCGCAGGGCCCUUUCCCCUCCCGCGGCCCCGGCGUGCAGGCAGGAGGCGCGGAGCCACGAGGCUGAGCCGUCUGCGGGGUCGGGGCACGCGUCCUGCACGGGGGCAAGGCGCGAGGCUCCCCAAGCCCCCGGCGUUUCAACAGCACCGGGAUCCCCGCGCCCCAGGAGCUGGCGAACGCUGGCACGUCGCUAAUUUAAGGCUGCCGAGCUUGCUCCGCCUGUGCCGCCCCCCGGGGUUUUGCGUUUUGCAGUAACAGCAGUGAUCGGAAGAAUAUUUGGGGCUGAGACAUCCAACGCGGUCCUCUGCGGGGCUGAGAGCACCACCGAAACCCCAAAGCAUCCCGAGGAAGCAGCCGCUGCAGGAGCCGUUCCCCCACGCUGCGAUGUUUGGAGGUUUCUAUGUAUGGGAGCUGGCCACCGAGCUGUCAGCGGUUGCCUCACCUUGUUAUGUGACGUGGAGCUGUGCGAGCCGUUCAGA